RNAcentral lists this transfer RNA (71 nucleotides) under Loxodonta africana (African savanna elephant). Its description in RNAcentral is "tRNA-Gly (TCC) (tRNA-Gly-TCC-31-1)". It matches the Rfam family "tRNA". From Rfam's summary of the family: Transfer RNA (tRNA) molecules are approximately 80 nucleotides in length. Their secondary structure includes four short double-helical elements and three loops (D, anti-codon, and T loops). Lineage: Eukaryota; Metazoa; Chordata; Mammalia; Proboscidea; Elephantidae. The record is from Rfam by way of RNAcentral.
GCAUUGGUGGUUCAGUGGUAGAAUUCUUGCCUUCCAUGCAGGAAACCUGAGUUCAAUUCCCAGCCAAUGCA